CAGCCGCCGCGGUAAUACGGAGGGUGCAAGCGCUAUCCGGAUUCACUGGGUUUAAAGGGUGCGUAGGCGGGCAGGUAAGUCAGUGGUGAAAUCUUCGAGCUUAACUCGGAAACUGCCGUUGAUACUAUCUGUCUUGAAUAACGUUGAGGUGAGCGGAAUAUGUCAUGUAGCGGUGAAAUGCUUAGAUAUGACAUAGAACACCGAUUGCGAAGGCAGCUCACUAAACGCUCAUUGACGCUGAGGCACGAAAGCGUGGGGAUCAAACAGGAUUAGAUACCCCCGUAGUCCCUGUCUCUUAUAC
Molecule: ribosomal RNA, 301 nt
Filed under: uncultured bacterium
Lineage: Bacteria
Description: partial 16S ribosomal RNA
Rfam family: Bacterial small subunit ribosomal RNA
Source: RNAcentral